Cervus elaphus (red deer) is the source of this 1803-nucleotide long non-coding RNA. RefSeq lists it as uncharacterized. The transcript is spliced from 4 exons. The record is from RefSeq and is a predicted model, not a curated record. NCBI's taxonomy places the organism in Eukaryota, Metazoa, Chordata, Mammalia, Artiodactyla, Cervidae.
GAUGAUUCAAGUUAGCCUGGGGUACCCUCUCUGUUUUCCACUCCCAAACUGGGAUUAAUUUAGGAAUCUUCCAUAAAUGUAGACACUGGGGGCUUUCCAAUCUUAGCCUGGGCAAGUACUACUCCAAGACAGAUCAGAACAAGAUGGCCUUGCUUUGUAAGAGUGGGAAAGGAAGACAGGAAAUAAGGACUCCUGGAGAUGGUUUAGUUUACAUGUCAGCCUUGUUGCUGUAACAUAGAAUUAGAGAUAUGGAAUUUUUCUCAGAAGCUAAAAGCAAUACAACGAUGAAGAGAACAUCCUAGAAGGCCAUGAUCCACCUGCUGAAUGAACCAGCUACCCUGAAGGUACUAUGAUUCAUGUAGGAAGAAGAGAAAGGAAGAGAAAAAAAUGUGCCUGAGAGGCACAAAGGACCAGGUGAGAACGCUGGAGUUCAGACCGGCUGGAGACUGUGCUAAAGUCAGGGUCUGGUUCCAAACCCUGCCUCCUGAGCCCGGACUUGAUUCCUCAGCCCCACUCUGCUUCCUGCACCUCUAUCUGGAUUAGGACACUCAAUGACAUCCUCCUACCACAGGCUGAUAGCUACAGGAGACACGCGUUCGAUCCCUGGUCCAGGAGGAUCCCACCUGCUGCGGAGCAACAAAGCCCCAACUAUCAAGCCUGUGCUCUAGAGCCCGGGAACCACAACACCGAGACCACCUGCUGCAACUACUGAAACCCACACACGCUAGAACCCUGCUCCGACACAAGAGAAGCCACUGCAGUGAGAAGCCUGUGCACUGCAACGAAGAGUGGGCCCUGCUCGCCACAACUAGAGAAAAGCCCUCGCAGCGACCAAGACCCAGCACAGACAGAAAUAAACAAAAUCAUAAAAAAGUUAAAUGACUGGAGUUAGAGAAAGUACAUUAGACCUGAUUCAAGACUUUUCCUAUUGUAAUGCCAUAUCUAUCUUGACACCUGGUAUUGUUGCUCAGAUAUGUUUUCUUGACUAGGACAGAGAAAGUGGCAAUGUCUGUGGGAGUGUGUUGUACAUGGGAAUGUCUUCCAUCUCACAGAGCGCUGCUAAACUAGCUGCUGACAGCCUCUCAGGAAUUCCUUUGUAUGUGAGGAGGUUUUUGUUUUCCCUCUCUCUUGCUGCUCCACAUGGUACCUUCCCCUCCAUAGUUUCAACCUUCCUUCUUGCUGCCAACAGACUACUCACUCACCACUCCCUUUCUUUGCCAUAAGCAGAUUGUAUUUAGUCAACCUUGUACUCUAAGCACUGGCUUCCCUGGUGGCGCAGUGAUAAAGAAUCCACCUGCCAACGCAGGAGACACAGGUUCAGUCCCUGGAUGGAGAAGAUCCCCUGCAGGAGGAAAUGGCAACCCACUCCAGUAUUUUUGCCUGGGAAAUCCCAUAGACAAGAGGAGCCUGGUGGGCUGCCGUACAUGGGGUCACAGAGAGUUGGACACGAGUUAGUGACUGAGCACAAAUGCAUGUACUCUAACCACUCUAAGAAAGAAUUAACAAAGAUGUAAAAUGUAAUGGGUAUCCUAACUAGCUCGUUAAUCUGGGUUAUCUCUGCCUUUGACUAAGGUAUUUUGCAACUCUGAGAGAUAGAAGUUGUAAAAAACUGAUAGUAAUGCAAAUAGUUCUUGAUUAUAAAUAGAUAAAUUCUGUUGAGGGAAGGUUCAAUGGAUUUCCCUCCUCCACUGUGGAAGAAGCUGCUUUGCAUCUAUUAAGCUAAUUCAUUUCAACUCCCUGCUGAGUUUAUAUAUUGUUUCCUUCAUUCACUAAUGUGUUAAGUAAAAUCUUUGACUUGUGUUC